GAGAUAGCUCAGUUGGCAGAGCAUGAGACUCUUAAUCUCAGAGUCAUGGGUUUGAGUCCCAUGUUAAGCA
This 70-nucleotide transfer RNA is filed under the name Podarcis lilfordi (Lilford's wall lizard). Its description in RNAcentral is "tRNA.Lys". The stretch from base 5 to 62 matches the Rfam family "tRNA", at positions 8 to 63 of the family's 71-position model. Rfam says of the family: Transfer RNA (tRNA) molecules are approximately 80 nucleotides in length. Their secondary structure includes four short double-helical elements and three loops (D, anti-codon, and T loops). The record is from RNAcentral. Lineage: Eukaryota; Metazoa; Chordata; Lepidosauria; Squamata; Lacertidae.